GCGCAGACACUGUGGCACGUGGCGAGCCCAACGCGCUGUAAACGCGCCGGUUAAACCUGUGGCGGUUCGACUCCGUCUCUGCGCACCA
RNAcentral lists this transfer RNA (88 nucleotides) under Bradyrhizobium sp. 41S5. Its description in RNAcentral is "tRNA-Tyr". The record is from RNAcentral. Lineage: Bacteria; Pseudomonadati; Pseudomonadota; Alphaproteobacteria; Hyphomicrobiales; Nitrobacteraceae.